Molecule: long non-coding RNA, 572 nt
Filed under: Pan troglodytes (chimpanzee)
Lineage: Eukaryota; Metazoa; Chordata; Mammalia; Primates; Hominidae
Description: long non-coding RNA NONPTRT010804
Source: RNAcentral
GGGAGGCAGAUGAUGAAUAAAUGAACAAAAAAUAUAAUAAUGGAUAUGUAUUUAUAAGUGCUAUGAAGAGAAGAAAUCCAAGCAAGAAGAGAGUGAAAUGAGGGUCUCACUGGGUUUCCCAAGAACUGGAGUGUGGUGGUUCACUGCAGACUCAAUCUUCCCAGCUCAAGUGAUCUUCCCACUUCAGCCUCCCUUGUUGUUGGGACUACAGUCACGUGCCACCACACUAGGCUAAUCCAGGUAAUAUUUUUUUUUGGUGAGGGGGUGGGAACAGAGUUUUGCCAUGUUGCCCAGGCUGGUCUCAAACUCCUGGGCUCAAGAUAUCUGCCUGCCUUGGCCUCCCACAGUGCUGGGAUUAUAGGUGUGAGCCACCCCUCCUGGCCCAGGGUUAUGUUCUUAAUUGAAAUAAUGAAGUAAAGAGAUUAGAGAUUGUGAUUUGAGAUUGUCUGCAUCUUAGAAAUUAUUAUGAAAUUUUGAUAUUGGGGAAAAUUUCUAAUUUGUGUAAGUCUGAUUUGAAAAUUUGAUUGAGUGUAUACCUUACUUUUUUUUAAAAAAUAUGCUGUUUAAAUUUU